GAUGAAGAACGCAGCGAAAUGCGAUAAGUAGUGUGAAUUGCAGAAUUCAGUGAAUCAUCGAAUCUUUGAACGCACAUUGCGCCCCUUGGUAUCCCGAGGGGCAUGCCUGUUCGAGCGUCAUUUCACCACUCAAGCCUGGCUUGGUGUUGGGCGACGUCCCCUUUGGGGACGCGCCUCGAAACGCUCGGCGGCGUGGCACCGGCUUUAAGCGUAGCAGAAUCUUUCGCUUUGGAAGUCGGGGCCCCGUCCGCCGGAAGACCUACUCGCAAGGUUGACCUCGGAUCAGGCAGGGAUACCCGCUGAACUUAAGCAUAUCAAUAAGCGGAGGA
RNAcentral lists this unclassified non-coding RNA (329 nucleotides) under soil metagenome. RNAcentral describes it as "partial contains 5.8S ribosomal RNA, internal transcribed spacer 2, and large subunit ribosomal RNA". The stretch from base 1 to 120 matches the Rfam family "5.8S ribosomal RNA", at positions 35 to 154 of the family's 154-position model. The record is from RNAcentral.